Long non-coding RNA from Ostrinia nubilalis (European corn borer), 1017 nucleotides. RefSeq lists it as uncharacterized. The transcript is spliced from 4 exons. Lineage: Eukaryota; Metazoa; Arthropoda; Insecta; Lepidoptera; Crambidae. The record is from RefSeq and is a predicted model, not a curated record.
AGGUUAUUAGGUUGUUUACUGAGCUGUUCAUUUCGUUUGAUUUUUCAAUCAUUGUUGUAUCUCAAGAAAUGGUGCAUAAUUGUGUAGUGCGUGGUUGUGGUAGUACGUGGUGUCCCGGAAGUGACUUAAAAUUCCACGCAUUUCCUAACAAUAGCACUCGGAGAAAUUUGUGGUUAUCCAUUAUACCAUUGAAAGCGAAGUUUUAUAAAAGUGCAAGGAUUUGCAAUUUGCAUUUUCAAGAAUCAGAUUAUGAUUCAACAACCAGGCGACUAAAACAAACAGCAGUUCCUACUAUAGUAACAAAUCAAGAAACACAAGCACCAGGCAAGACAGAAAGUUUAUUAGAUGACGAGUCUAUGGUGCAAAUAGCUGAUGUGACCGUACCAAGGACUAGUUCCGGCAUUUGUGAAAGAAAUUCUCCACUUAUGGAACAUGACGAGUCUAAGGUGCCAAUAGCUGCUGUGUAUAUACUACCAAGCACUAGUUCUGGCAUUUGUGAAAGGAAGUCACCUGUCAGCAGUGAGUACCACGUUCCUGUGAAGAUGGACAAGGGCAUCCAAGUGGAAAUAAAGUCUGCUCGAGAAAAAAUACUUCAAAAGGAAAAAAGGAUUUUAAAGCAAAAAUUGGCGCGACAAAUUAAAAAAAAUCGAGAUAUGUCUUCCUUAUUGGCAUCUUUAAAAAAGUAUUUGCGUCAAUCAGAAAUUGAAAAUAUUAUCCAAGGGCGUUUUGCUCAUAUCUCUAAGAAAUUAAAAAAACCACAGAGUAAACUACAUGGCAUUCGUUAUAGUGAAGAAGUGAAGGCCUUUGCUUUAACUUUGUAUUCCUAUUCACCAAAAGCUUACGAAUUUUUAAGAAAAUAUAUAACUUUACCUCAUGUAGAAACUAUUCAAAGAUCUUUGUCUUAAUUUUUUUGGUUCUUUGUUUCUUGUGUGAAGUUUUUAGGGUUCCGUACCUCAAAAGGAAAAAACGGACCCCUUAUAGGAUCACUUUGUUGUCCGUCUGUCCGUCCGUCUGUCA